AUGAAUGACACAGUAACUAUUCGGACCAGGAAAUUCAUGACCAAUCGUCUGCUUCAACAGAAACAAAUGGUCAUCGAUGUCCUUCACCCCAGGAAGAUAACAGUACCUAAGACAGAAAUUCGGGAAAAACUAGCCACAAUGUACAAGACAAUACCAGAUGUCAUCUUGUAUUUGGAUUCAGAACUCAUUUUGGUGGCGGCAAGACAACUGGCUUUGGCAUGAUUUAUGAUUCUUUGGAUUAUGCAAACAAAAAUGAACCCAAGCCGGGCUCGAAAAAUGAACUCAAACAUAGACUUGCAAGACAUGGCCUGUAUGAGAAGAAAAAGACCUCAAGGAAGCAGCGAAAAGAACACAAGAACAGAAUAAAGAAAGUCAGGGGGACUGCAAAGGCCAAUGUUGGUGCUGGAAAAAAGAAAUGAAGUGUCUAUAGCAGUGAGCUGGAGACUGGAUAACAGGCAAAGGACUAAAGAUGAUGCAGUGACGAUAUCUGUGGCCAUUGUUUGGAUUUUUCACGACGAGCUUAAUAAACUAAAAA
RNA transcript from Carlito syrichta (Philippine tarsier), 535 nucleotides. It is a transcript of the gene named 40S ribosomal protein S24-like, with no coding region annotated. Lineage: Eukaryota; Metazoa; Chordata; Mammalia; Primates; Tarsiidae. The transcript is spliced from 2 exons. The record is from RefSeq and is a predicted model, not a curated record.